AUUCCUUUCUCGGCCUUUUGGCAAAGAUCAAGUGUAGUGUCUAUUCUUAUUAGUUUAAUAUCUGAUAUGUGAUAUGUGAGCCAUUGAUUCACUCUUUAUUAAAUUAAUAAUUUUUUGUGGGGAGGGCCCACUACAGUAGCUUGCUACUGUGGCCUCUAAUGGGUUGCCUUAGUGUUGCAAAUAGCCUUGGCUUGGCGCACCCCAA
Small nuclear RNA from Rhododendron vialii, 205 nucleotides. RefSeq annotates it as U2 spliceosomal RNA. The transcript has a single exon. Lineage: Eukaryota; Viridiplantae; Streptophyta; Magnoliopsida; Ericales; Ericaceae. The record is from RefSeq and is a predicted model, not a curated record.